RNAcentral lists this ribosomal RNA (1433 nucleotides) under uncultured Flavobacteriaceae bacterium. RNAcentral describes it as "bacterial SSU rRNA". It matches the Rfam family "Bacterial small subunit ribosomal RNA". The record is from RNAcentral. Lineage: Bacteria; Pseudomonadati; Bacteroidota; Flavobacteriia; Flavobacteriales; Flavobacteriaceae.
AGGAUGAAGCGUUCCAGCGGCAUGAGCCAUAAGCACACUGCAAGUCGAGGCGGUAGAUAUCAGCUUGCUGAAUUUGAGACCGGCGCACCAUGCGUAACGCGUAUGCAACCUACCUGGCACAGGGGAAUAGCCCGAAGAGACGAGGAUUAAUGCGGUAUAGAUUAUUGACAAGGCAUCUUGUUAAUAUUAAAGUUUUGGCGGUAAGAGAUGGGCAUGCGUUCUAUUAGCUAGUUGGUAUGGUGACUGCAUACCAAGGCGACGAUAGAUAGGGGUCCUGAGAGGGAGAUCCGGUCACUGGUACUGAGACACGGACCAGACUCCUACGGGAGGCAGCAGUGAGGAAUCAAGGACAAUGGGCGGAAGCCUGAUCCAGCCAUGCCUGCAGGAAGACGGCCUUAUGGGUUGUAAACUGCUAGUAUACAGAGAAGAAUAAGGAGUACGUGUAUUUCGAUGACGGUACUGUAUGAAUAAGCAUCGGCUAACUCCGUGCCAGCAGCACUGUAAUACGGAGGAUGCGAGCGUUAUCCGGAAUCAUUGGGAGAAGGUCCGUAGGCGCAAUGUAAGUCAGAGGUGAAAUAACUGGGCUCAACCGAGUGGUUGCCAUUGAAACUGCAUGUCUUGAAUGACAUGAAGUGGCCGGAAUGUGUAGUGUAGCGGUGAAAUGCAUAGAUAUUACACAGAACACCAAUUGCGACUUAAAGUCACUAACAAAUGAUUGACGCUGAUGGACGAAAGCGUACGAGCGAACAGGAUUAGAUACCCUGGUAGUCCACGGAUUAAACGAUGGAUACUAGCUGUUCGAAGCGGAUUGAGUGGCUAAGCGCUAGUGAUAACUAUCCCACCUGGGGAGUACGCACGAGACUGUGAAACUCAAAGGAAUUGACGGCCACCGCACAAGCGUGGAGCAUGUGGUUUAAUUCGAUGAUACGCGAGGAACCUUACCAAGGUUUAAAUGUAGUAUGACAGGGCAAGAGAUUGCUUUCUUCGGACAAUAUUCAAGGUGCUGCAUGGUAUGUAAGCCAGCUCACGCCGUCGAGGUGUCAGGUUAAGUGCAGCAACGAGCGCAACACCUACUGAUAGUUACCAGCAAGUGAAGUUCUAUAUCUACUGGGACUGCCGGUGCAAACCGUGACAAAGGUGCGACUGACGUCAAAUCAUCACGGCCCUUACAUAUAGGCUACACACGUGCUACAAUGGUAGGGACAGAGAGCAGCCACCGGGUGACCGGAGCGAAUCUAUAAACCCUAUCUCAGUUCGGAUCGGAGUCUGCAACUCGACUCCGUGAAGCUGGAAUCGCUAGUAACAUUAUCAGCCAUGAUGCGGUGAAUACGUUCAGCAGCCUUGUACACACCGCCCGUCAAGCCAUGGAAGCCGGGGGUACCUGAAGUCGGUCGCCGAGCUGAGAAGGGUAGUCCUGGUCAACUGAGCGGCUU